This 162-nucleotide ribosomal RNA is filed under the name Cirsium japonicum. RNAcentral describes it as "5.8S ribosomal RNA". The stretch from base 46 to 162 matches the Rfam family "5.8S ribosomal RNA", at positions 1 to 117 of the family's 154-position model. From Rfam's summary of the family: 5.8S ribosomal RNA (5.8S rRNA) is a component of the large subunit of the eukaryotic ribosome. It is transcribed by RNA polymerase I as part of the 45S precursor that also contains 18S and 28S rRNA. Functionally, it is thought that 5.8S rRNA may be involved in ribosome translocation. Lineage: Eukaryota; Viridiplantae; Streptophyta; Magnoliopsida; Asterales; Asteraceae. The record is from RNAcentral.
GUUCGCGGCGUGCGCAUGGGCCGUGGCCUCUCAAUAACCAUAAACGACUCUCGGCAACGGAUAUCUCGGCUCACGCAUCGAUGAAGAACGUAGCAAAAUGUGAUACUUGGUGUGAAUUGCAGAAUCCCGUGAACCAUCGAGUUUUUGAACGCAAGUUGCGCC